Molecule: ribosomal RNA, 497 nt
Filed under: uncultured bacterium
Lineage: Bacteria
Description: partial 16S ribosomal RNA
Rfam family: Bacterial small subunit ribosomal RNA
Source: RNAcentral
GAUGAACGCUGGCGGCGUGCCUAAUACAUGCAAGUCGAGCGAUGAGGCGGGGGGCUUGACCCUCGGACGUGAGCGGCAGGCGGGUGUGUCACGCGUGUAUCCCCUCCCUAUCUUACUGAUAUAACUUCGAGAAAGCGGCGCUAAUACCGGAUUCUGUCUGGAACCGCAUGGUUGAAUAGUGAAGGACGGUUUUGCUGUCACUUGUGGAUGGAUCCGCGCCGCUUUGGCUAGUUGGUAAGGUAUCGGCAUACUAAGGCGACGAUGCGUCGCCGGCCUGAGGGGCUGAUCGGGCACUCUGGCACUGAGACACGGUCCAGCCUCCUACGGGACGCCGCGGGAGAGCAGCGGCCGAUAUUGGCGAAAGCAUGACGGAGCAACGCCGCGUGGGUGAUGAAGGGCUUUAGGUCUUAAAACUCUGAUAUUCGGGAAGACGAAAUGUGUAAGCAACUUUGCACGUCUUGACGGUACCGGAUGAGAAAGCCCCGGCUAACUACGUG